RNAcentral lists this long non-coding RNA (223 nucleotides) under Carica papaya (papaya). Its description in RNAcentral is "long non-coding RNA (CPAP_LNC002872)". Lineage: Eukaryota; Viridiplantae; Streptophyta; Magnoliopsida; Brassicales; Caricaceae. The record is from RNAcentral.
GGACGUAUUCCCCACCACAAUUUCUUUUCCACUUGCAACAACACUUAUCUUCUUCUUUGCCAUUCUCCUAUUUUCCUUCACUUAUUGUUUCCUUCACCAUGAAUCAUCUCUUAUUAUCUCUUUUUUCUCCCUUUGCAAAGCCACUUGUAUUCCACUCACAAUCGUUUGUUCUCAACUACAACAGUGGUCACGAUUUAGGGUCACAAGUAGUCACACCUCAUGC